AUACCCUUCUCUGUGUGGUGGGCACAAAAUAACCUGGUGGAGACGCUAGAAUGUCUUCUCCUGAGGAGAGAUGAAGGGGAUGAUUCAGAACAUGAACUCUUUUGGCAAGAGGAUCAAGAGCCCCAGCCCUGUGCGAUUGAUUCUUGGGCUGAAGGAUCUGUACCUGUGCUUCAUGCUGCUCUGGAAUAGCACAAGGUUUAUAUGACAUUCCAAACAGCCUGAAGUGAAAAAGACUGGUGGACCAGACAGAGAACUACUCCACCUUCAACCUGCUACCGCUCAAUGCCAAUAGAGUGAUGAUACCGAAUUAUUCACGAAAACUGAAGAAAAUCUGACUUCCUUAAAACUCAGUCCAAACAUAAGCAAAGGAACUCAAAAGAAGCAAGUCUCUGAUCUUCUUAUGGUAUAAUUGCCUCUAUUGCUUGCCAAGUUUAGUCCUAAUUCACUUAAGAACUAAAAAAAUAAUUUCAUUUGGGUCUCUCAGCCUCAAAACACUGACUCAUCAAACACAGUUUGGGCCUGAGGUGAGGAAACAGUGAUCCCAUGAGCUCCAAACACUCAUGAACUGAUGUUGUAGCCCUUAGGCCACAGCUGGUAACAGACCAGAACAGUGGGAACCAAGGCUGAAAAACAAAACAAAAAAACAGUCAUCUUACCCUACUAUAAAAUAUGAAAUAAAUAAAUGAAUGACAUGUACUGAAGCAUCCCUCUGCGGACAAUGUAAAGACAUUUCUUACUGCACUAUUUUGUAUUGAGUAAAUCAGUGCCUUGCCUGCAUUUUUCUGUGACUGUUGUGGCAGAAACACACAGUUAGACCUAAUUAAUCUUCGACAUCUGUCUUUUAUUCAUACCUGCAAUUCAAUGAAUAAUUUAAUGA
Sinocyclocheilus anshuiensis is the source of this 877-nucleotide long non-coding RNA. RefSeq lists it as uncharacterized. The record is from RefSeq and is a predicted model, not a curated record. NCBI's taxonomy places the organism in Eukaryota, Metazoa, Chordata, Actinopteri, Cypriniformes, Cyprinidae. The transcript has 3 exons.